This 468-nucleotide ribosomal RNA is filed under the name uncultured Hydrogenophaga sp. RNAcentral describes it as "bacterial SSU rRNA". It matches the Rfam family "Bacterial small subunit ribosomal RNA", at positions 335 to 795 of the family's 1533-position model. Lineage: Bacteria; Pseudomonadati; Pseudomonadota; Betaproteobacteria; Burkholderiales; Comamonadaceae. The record is from RNAcentral.
UUUCCUACGGGAGGCUGCAGUGGGGAAUUUUGGACAAUGGGCGCAAGCCUGAUCCAGCAAUGCCGCGUGCAGGAAGAAGGCCUUCGGGUUGUAAACUGCUUUUGUACGGAACGAAACGGUCUGGGUUAAUACCCUGGGCUAAUGACGGUACCGUAAGAAUAAGCACCGGCUAACUACGUGCCAGCAGCCGCGGUAAUACGUAGGGUGCAAGCGUUAAUCGGAAUUACUGGGCGUAAAGCGUGCGCAGGCGGUUGUGUAAGAAAGGCGUGAAAUCCCCGGGCGCAACCGGGGAAUGGCGCUUGUGACUGCACAACUGGAGUGCGGCAGAGGGGGAUGGAAUUCCGCGUGUAGCAGUGAAAUGCGUAGAUAUGCGGAGGAACACCGAUGGCGAAGGCAAUCCCCUGGGCCUGCACUGACGCUCAUGCACGAAAGCGUGGGGAGCAAACAGGAUUAGAUACCCGUGUAGUC